AUAGACAAAAUGUGCUUGUGGAAGGGAAGCUUGGGUGCUUUCGAGUUUCAUUUUUAGAUAUUCCAAGGUUUUAGUUGUUCUAUAAUUAACCUGUUUUCAGAGCAAUGUGAAGAGAGAUCCUUCUAAUGGAUGGGCCCGAAUUCCAGCUCUAGGAGACAAAAAUGCUGCGUAGUUGGUGCUGUAUAUAUGCAUCAUGCAUGAUGCAUCAUGGAUAUUCAUGAAUUAGCUUGUGUGCUUAUACUCUGAUUCGAACCCCAGGUGCAGCCAGCAGCCGUUUGAGCAUUUUUACGUAACACAAUACUGGUAUAUACUUCAUCCGUCCCAAAUUACUAUUCAUUUUAGCUUUCCUAGAUACACAUCUUUUGAUAUGCACCUAGAUACACACCUUUUGAUAUGCACCCAGAUAUAUAGGUACAUCUAUGUCUAGAUACAUAGCAAAAGUGAUAUAUCUGGAAAAGCCAAAACAAAUAGUAAUUUGACGGGGGGAGUAGUAUAUAUAAGAUCUAAUCGUCUAUUAUUAUGGAUAAUUUAGUUAUUGUACAAUGUGACAUUUCAGAUGAAAUAUGGUCUUCUAGACUUUACGUUAGUGCCAAAAAACAUUCAUAUAUAUUAUCCAUACCACAGGUGAAGUUUUCAGUAGUAUACAAUUAAUCUUAACCGUUUAAUAUUUUUAUAAUAGUCCUUUUCGAACAUAGUUUAUCGUAAAUUCUUUUUCGCCGCAUUGCACGUUGGGGCAGCGACUCCUACAGUCCUACCACGUUGGGGCAGCGACCAACAAAUGCUGAGUUGCUCUGGGAACUCUUGCUCUCACGACUUUGUUCCCGUCAGAGUCCAGCUCGAACGUGAUUAUUACGUACACGCACGAACCAUCCGUAUGCGAAGGGGCUACAUUGGGAUAUCAUUUCACCACGUACGUGACGAGCCACACCCUGAGGUUCCCGGCGGUGCCCCCUGCCGGCGCGUCGUUAGUUCGCGGCGCUGGCCACCCUGGGGGGUAAUAAUAUAUGCAGGCUCGGGUGGACGGCUCGGUACUGGAAGGCAUCGUGAUUUCAGUCUCC
This 1058-nucleotide long non-coding RNA is filed under the name Setaria viridis. RNAcentral's name for it is "long non-coding RNA (SVIR_LNC002417)". Lineage: Eukaryota; Viridiplantae; Streptophyta; Magnoliopsida; Poales; Poaceae. The record is from RNAcentral.